Molecule: long non-coding RNA, 543 nt
Filed under: Capsicum annuum
Lineage: Eukaryota; Viridiplantae; Streptophyta; Magnoliopsida; Solanales; Solanaceae
Description: long non-coding RNA (CANN_LNC001674)
Source: RNAcentral
CAGCCAAUAAUUCUAGUGAUCCUGAACUCUAUUUGGAUGACACAAAUAGUAAAAGAAGGUGUGGAUCAUAUAGCCGAGGGACUGGGGUACCAACUUUGGGCUCAGACAGUGCUCCAAGCCCAAACGUUAGGAACGCUGAACAUGAUAAACUCCAACGAGUUAAACUCGCUUAUGACUCACAUGUUCAAGAGCAUUCUAUUCUACCCUAACUUUCUUUACCUCUAAAAACUAGAGACACUAAAGUUUGUGCCAUGGACACCACCAUCGAACAAUCCCAUCCUAAUACCAACACGAGUGGUAGUCAACGUAGUCGAAGGCCAAGGAAAAGAAAAACCUAUAAUGCUAGAGGAAAUACAGCAGACAAAUGCAGAGAUUGAACAAUUCCUAGCAACGUUUGGGGAGCCAAAACCAAAUUCUCCAUUCUUGAAAAAACCCUUCGAAAAGAAUAUGAAGAGCCUUACAGCACAACUACUACAAUACUAUGUCCAAAGGAGAUGAGGUCCUUCAAUCUAUGCCUGAGGAACAUGACAAACUAGACUAGUA